RNAcentral lists this ribosomal RNA (229 nucleotides) under Shigella flexneri. Its description in RNAcentral is "partial 23S ribosomal RNA". It matches the Rfam family "Bacterial large subunit ribosomal RNA", at positions 2714 to 2925 of the family's 2925-position model. The record is from RNAcentral. Lineage: Bacteria; Pseudomonadati; Pseudomonadota; Gammaproteobacteria; Enterobacterales; Enterobacteriaceae.
GUUCGGGUUGUCAUGCCAAUGGCACUGCCCGGUAGCUAAAUGCGGAAGAGAUAAGUGCUGAAAGCAUCUAAGCACGAAACUUGCCCCGAGAUGAGUUCUCCCUGACCCUUUAAGGGUCCUGAAGGAACGUUGAAGACGACGACGUUGAUAGGCCGGGUGUGUAAGCGCAGCGAUGCGUUGAGCUAACCGGUACUAAUGAACCGUGAGGCUUAACCUUACAACGCCGAAG